AUCCAGCCGACGAGUCCCAUAUAGGCCGAAACGCGCUUCAAACUGGAU
This is a non-coding RNA of Schistosoma margrebowiei, 48 nucleotides long. The record is from Rfam. NCBI's taxonomy places the organism in Eukaryota, Metazoa, Platyhelminthes, Trematoda, Strigeidida, Schistosomatidae.